This 509-nucleotide ribosomal RNA is filed under the name uncultured Glomeromycotina. RNAcentral's name for it is "SSU rRNA". It matches the Rfam family "Eukaryotic small subunit ribosomal RNA", at positions 569 to 1079 of the family's 1831-position model. The record is from RNAcentral. Lineage: Eukaryota; Fungi; Glomeromycota.
AGCAGCCGCGGUAAUUCCAGCUCCAAUAGCGUAUAUUAAAGUUGUUGCAGUUAAAAAGCUCGUAGUUGAACUUCGGGGUUCACCCAUUGGUCAGGCUUAAUUGUCUGUACUGGUGAGAUGAGUCUCUACCUUCUGAGGAACUUUCAUGCCAUUUGUUUGGUGUGAUUGGAAAUCAGGACUGUUACUUUGAAAAAAUUAGAGUGUUUAAAGCAGGCUAACGUCUGAAUACAUUAGCAUGGAAUAAUGAAAUAGGACGGAUUGAUUCUAUUUCGUUGGUUUCUAGGGUCACCGUAAUGAUUAAUAGGGAUAGUUGGGGGCAUUAGUAUUCAAUUGUCAGAGGUGAAAUUCUUGGAUUUAUUGAAGACUAACUACUGCGAAAGCAUUUGCCAAGGAUGUUUUCAUUAAUCAAGAACGAAAGUUAGGGGAUCGAAGACGAUCAGAUACCGUCGUAGUCUUAACCAUGAACUAUGCCGACUAGGGAUCGGACGCAGUUAAUUUUAUAAUGACGU